Dipodomys spectabilis (banner-tailed kangaroo rat) is the source of this 582-nucleotide non-coding RNA. Lineage: Eukaryota; Metazoa; Chordata; Mammalia; Rodentia; Heteromyidae. The record is from the annotation of a RefSeq genome assembly.
GAUAAGAAUAAGAGGGUGUAAAAAGCCUCCAGGGUGAUUGCAGCAGUCCUGCUGAACUUUCUACACACCUCCCUUUUCCAAGUUCUUGCUUUCUAUAGCCACUUGCAACAUCUCGACGGCUCAGCCAUGCUUCUUGUGCUCCUUUCAGCACUAGGGAUGCAUUUAUUCCUGAGACAUGCUACAGCCCAGUUGGUGACCCAGCCUGAUGUCCACAUCACUGUCUCAGAAGGAAAUUCUCUGGAGCUGAGGUGCAACUAUUCCUAUGGUGCUUCAGUUUUUCUCUUCUGGUACGUCCAGUAUCCCAGCCAGGGCCUCCAGCUUCUUCUCAAGUAUAGUUCAGGAGACCCCCUGGUUCAAGGCCUCAAAGGCUUUGAGGCUGAAUUUAAGAGGAGCGACUCUUCUUUCCACUUGAGGAAACACUCUGUGCAUGUGAGUGACUCGGCUGCAUACUUCUGUGCCUUGAGUGUCACAGUGCCUGGGGCUACAGUAGCAGCUGAACAAAAACCAGCCACAGAGAGGACAUUCCACAAGCCCAAGGUCUCUCUGUGGUGUUUUGAACACUUGCUUUGUAAAGGGCAAUGA